CUUAUUGUAAAAAGCCUCUUUUCGUAUUUUGCUUUUUGUAAUUCUUUUCAAUACUAGUCACAUGGAUUAUUUAUUUUAAAGAAAGAAAGAAACAAUUUAUAUGGCUAUAAACUUCAACAACCAAUACAUGUCUCUUUUUGAACAAGUCUUGUGUCUUUUUGCUUUCUUUUCUUCUCCUUUUCGUAAACGACGAUUUAGAUAUUUUCCGGUAUUGAGAAGUAGUCUUAACAUAGAAGAGUCUCACAUAGGUAAUACUAAUAAAGAAGAUACCGUAAAUUAACGUAUUAAUCUCCCUUCAAAACCAUCACUAAAGAUUUUAUAUAAGUAACACCAAUUACGACAAAAUAUAUCUUAAUCAACUUGUUCCAACAAACACAUCGGAAACGUCCUUUGAUUUAACCCAAAACUUUUGUAAUUAAAAUAAAAAAAAACAAUAACUCUUUUUUUAGGAUUAGAAAUGAUUCUAGUUACAUAGAAAUAGAUCUCUCUUUCUUUUUUUCUUUGUUUUGUUUUUGUGCUCCCGCAAUGGUUAUCAUCAUCAACGAACAAUAGCCAUACGACGACGUUGAGCCUCAGUUGGCACUUUCACAUCGGUGGCUAAACCGAUAAUCUCAAGAAACCGAACAAUGUACCAAGAAAUGUCUAUCUGCCACCACUCAAGUCCUUGUCUAGCCGACGACUCGAAUGCAUGAUGGUUGUUAUGCCAGCUCUCUCCAAAUGAAAACACCGAUAGCCACCUUCCCAUAUGAACAAAAAUACACAAAUACAUUAUUAGGUGUCUUUUUGGAAAACAUGAGCUGUCUCCGGUUCAUGUCUACUUUUGUAUUUUGGGAAAGUGUCAUACAAGAUAUUCUACUAUCUCAAAGUACUGUACACCCACCUAUAAAAAAAAAAUGUUUAUAGGGAUUUCAAUAAUUUUUUUUGAUAUGAAAACACAUACCAAACAUUGCGAGAAGUGUCAUUGGUCUUCCAAGUUCGACUGCCCCAAAUAUGGCAGAGUGAAUUAAUGAGGCAAGUCACGUGCACUUCCAAUGCUGCUCCAACACCCUGAUACAUGAAUACGAGAGAAUCACACCAACCACAAUCUUUUAUAUUAAUUACAAAGAGAUUUUUGAUUCUAUACAAAAAUUUAUUAACCCAAUAUAUAUAUAUAUACGUUUUUGGAGUAUUAAAAGAGAUUCUUCAAUUAAUAUUACCAUUCCCCAAGUGACGAAGGACAUGCCACCGAGAUAGAAGAGAAUCAGACCCAAUCCUAAUAUGUGAAACAUCACUGUCUUCUGAAGAAACCUAUAAAACCACUGCCUCUUCAAAUCCUCCACAUUCGCUCUUUUUCCACACUGUCGUUUUAUAUUCAUCCAGAUUUAGAUUUUGGUUACAAAAACCAAAGAAACAGAAAUAUAAAAAAAAAAAGAAUAGAAAAAAUCAACCUUAGAAACAAGGUAGGCAGAGUCAUAGAUCCAUAGAAGAUGACUAAACCAAAAACCUUCCUUGGGACUAUGAGGAUCACGCUCUGAAUCCGUAAACUGGUGAUGGUAUCGAUGAGUACUCACCCAAUCUAUCGGAUCUCCCUAUAUUAAACAAACAUAUUAAAAACAAAACAAAAAAGUUUUUUUUUUAGAUCUAUAAAAAAAAACUAGUAGUUAAGAUCUCAAGAUCUAUAAUAUAGGUUACUAGAAAACAACAAAAAGAUUAGGUUUAUGGAGAACCUGAAUAGCGAGAAGGGCACAAUAGGCUAAGAGAUACUCGAGCCAUUUAGGGACUUUGAAACUCCGGUGAGCCAAGUUCCGGUGAUAGGAGACGGUGAUACCAAGACCACCGAUGGUGUAAAACAAGAACGUAACCCAAAGAGCCGACCAUGUGAAAUAAAAGGGAGCCAAGAGAGCUAGAGAAUGGACAAUGAAAGAUGCUGAGAAUUUCACAUAGUCCAAUCUCCUCCACCUUCUAUCCCAAAACACCCAUCUCCUCUUCUUCUUCUCCUCCACCGGCGAAGAAGAUGGAUUCUUCCGGUGGUUCUCCUCCACCGUCGACGUUACCGACAUCUCGGAUCUCUUCUUCUCUUCUUUUCUAGGUUCUCUGAAAAAAAGUUAUAAUGGAGGAGGAGAGGACGAGAAUAAAAAAUAAAGUGAUGCCUCUCUUCUAAUUUAUACUAUAAGAAGAAGAAAAAAUAUUCACUGCAAACCAAAUAAAAAAUAAAAAUCAUAGGAUCGGGGUAAGUAAUAAAUAUCAUGAUAUUUGUUGCAACAUUUGGCACGUAAGGGGGGUUGAGCUGUAUAGUUUACAUGCAAUAGUGAUCUAAAAUUGUAAAUAUAAAGUUUUCUUUAUGGUAUAACCAAACCAGUAACAGUAAGUAAAAGAUAUAAUAUAAAGUUUUAGAGAUGCCAAAAACAAAAGGGUGUUUUUAAGGGGUGACACAGGGCUCAAUAUUAUGAAAUUUUGACUUAUUCCACUGUUGAUAGAAAGAUAUACAUUGCUUUAUGGAUGUACGUGAUUACAGGCAAAAAUCACGUUCGGUUGCUGCAGACUGUUAUCAUUUUCAUUCCACAGUUUUUUUUUUUUCAAUUUUUUCUUAUUGUUUUUGUUAUUUAAAAUUUUAAAAAAAAAUUGGAAUAACUCACUGGCUGUACUGAGAAUAUACUGUUUUUGGUCUUCUUUUUUUAAUUAGUUUAUAGAAUAUAAUCUACAUAAUCUAUAGGAAAUCAAAAUAUACAUAACUAAGGUUCCCAAGUGUCAACUCUCUAAUCCAUUAAUACUUAUAUCUAAUAGUUAUUUUAUUUUACAGUUAUUAUACAAGAAACUAUAUCUAAUAAUUAUUUUUCCAAUAUAUAUACAACUAAAUCAAAUAGUAUAAUUGUUUUUUGACUAAAAUAGUGAAAUUAGGGAGUAGUACAUCAACUUUGACCCAAAAAGAAAGAAAAGUUAAAUAAAUAAUAUGUUUUAUAUACACUAAUUUAACACAUUUACAUGUAAUUCACAGAUCUCUCAGAAAAGCAUGUAUCUUUUAAUUCUUUUUUUAUCUUUUAAUUCUUAUUUUAUUUUUCAAAACGUUUUGACCAAGAAAAAGAGAAAUGUUAAGUACAUAAUAUUUGUACCAUUUGAAUCACAAAAUCAUUUAUAAAUAAAGUGUAUAUGGGAAAAAUAAAAACACGAUCUCUUAAACAAGCAUGUAUUUGUUUUUUCUUAGGGAAAAUUUUUAAAGCGUUUGACCAAAAUAAAUAAAUUUAAAAGAUCAAAAUUAAUUUAUUUUGUAACUAGUUUUGGAGAUUUUUAGAUCUUCGUGAUCAAUUCCUUUCCGGUGGAGUACGGAUUGUCAAAAUUGUGUGUGUUUUAAGUGGAAAGAAAUAUCAAAGUCGUAUUUUAUUUAUUUAUUCAUUUUUGAUUAGAUCACAAGUAGUUGAGUUUUUGUUUAGAUUAAAGUAGUUUAGUUUUUUUGUUUAGAUUAAAGUGGUUGAGUUCAUGUCUUCUUAAUAAGUUUUUUAUUUUUAUUUUUCUCUUCCUCUUAAACUAAUAAAUAUUAAGGUUGCAAGAUUCAUUAUACACGUCUUCAUACAUAAAGUACAUUACUGAAUUGAAUAUUUGACUAAAUGAAAUAAUAUUUAUUAAAUUUGUUUAGUGUAUGUUAUGAUGAUAUCUUCUUUUGUACCCCUGUAAUGAUAUCAAUCUCAAUAUCGCACAGCACACUACUUGCAAGUUUCUUUUAUUUUUAAAACUUAAAAGAAUUGUGAUGAUAAAAAAAAGAGAUAUUUUUGUAUCAACCUUGGGGCCGUAUGCCAUAUUGCCCACAACUUUUAUUAGGUCUAAAACUGAUUCCAUACCUCAAGAGUCAAGACUCUCAAGUGAUAAACAGUAUACGUAUAUGUUGAAUCACAAGACAGAUACAAGAUCGUAAACUUACACAUGUUAAGAUCUGUUAUGUAGACAUAACCAUGUGCUCGAACUUGUAAGCUCGUGUAAAAUAAUUCAAACUGUUUUGUUGCUAGCUAUACUAGUACUGUACUUAAGUAUUACCACAACAAUAUACUGUUGUAUAUAAACAACAAUUUAAAAAAAAAAUCGAUCUUUAAAAUCGUCACGUUUGAAAAUGUCGUCCUAGAAAUUCCUAAAUCAUCGGUUCUAGAUCUUGAAAAUGAAAACAAAACUUUAAAUGAAUCAAAACAGUGUAGUGGUAGUGGAGACGAGAAAGCCUCGCUAACUCCGGAAAACGUAUGACGACAAAUUUAUAUAAAUAGAGUUUAUAAUACAAAUGCCGAAAUGCGUACAAGAAUAUAGUGUCCUACAAGAAAAAUUAUAAAUAAAAAAACAAAGUAGACAAGAGUGAGGUUACUGUCAUCAUAGCAUCUACAUGUAUCGUUGAAUUAUACCUUUUUUUUUAUAUAGAAAAAAUUCCGAAACUGUAACGUACCUACCUUAGUAGUUUCUACAUCAAGAUUGAAAUCAUAGCAGCAAAGUUGAUUAGUAGGUUUGUGGGUAAGUGAGAAAGCGUAAAGUGAAGAAAGGGUAAGUGAUCAGAAAGGUGGUUGCGCUUUCGUAUACUUACUUAAUAACAACGAUUAACAAACACUAAUUACACAACUAUUGAACAUGUUAACAUUUAAACAGAAUAAUUAUAUUCCUACAUUUCUAAAAAAGUUACGACGUUUAAAUUAGAAGAAGAAAAAAAACCACAAAUCCGACUUGGUUCUGUUGUUUCAAUGAGAUCAAAUAAGUUUUGUGUUUGGUCUUUUGAGAUGAGUCGAACCAAAAUUGGAAAUAAAUCAUAAUGUUGUCACGUAGUAUUCUUUUUCUGAAAACGGACUAAUAAGUACACAGUUUCGAGUUAUUAGUAUUCUGAGAAACUAAAUCGUGUUUUAUAGAAUUAAGGAGAUAGUACACAUAUCUCAGAACUUCUACUAAUAUUAUAACACAUAUUAUAUAAAAAAAGAGAGAAAAAUAUGAUAGUAACAUGUGUGAAGGGAUAGAAAAAUAGUAAAAUGAUGCUAAUGGUCCCUGGAUCACACCAUUUGUGUACUAGUAGCUCGUCAGAAGUCACUGACCACUAUAUUUUCUCGAUUUAACAUGUUCCUCUUCCUCCCCUCACUUUCAAAACUUUUCACUACACCUCCAUUUCAAAAAUAGUAUGCUAAUUACGAUACAUCCUCUUACAACUUCUACUUAGAAAACAAUUUUAGGAUUUGUGAGCUUAAACGAAUACAUACAUAGCUGAGUUAUAAGCUUUUGGUAGCUUGCAAAAGGCAACUUGACAGGACUCUCAAUCAAAACCAUAUCCCAACAACAUGAGAAUACAAAGAACCACCUCCAUUGAAGACCAGUAAUACCAAAGGUACGAGGAAAUGUGUGAAAGCAUCUUGAACGACGUGAUAGAGCAUAUUAUAUACUAUCAAUACAUGAGAUUUGUAAGUAAAUUGACCAAUAAUAUCGAUUUUUUUUGUUUGUAGGUACAUUUAUAAUUAAGUAGUGUGAAGCAUAUGAAAACGUUUUUGAGAUAAUUAAAAAAAAAAAA
RNAcentral lists this long non-coding RNA (5497 nucleotides) under Capsella grandiflora. RNAcentral describes it as "long non-coding RNA (CGRA_LNC001546)". The record is from RNAcentral. Lineage: Eukaryota; Viridiplantae; Streptophyta; Magnoliopsida; Brassicales; Brassicaceae.